Molecule: ribosomal RNA, 1355 nt
Filed under: uncultured bacterium
Lineage: Bacteria
Description: bacterial SSU rRNA
Rfam family: Bacterial small subunit ribosomal RNA
Source: RNAcentral
GAUGAACGCUGGCGGCGUGCUUAACACAUGCAAGUCGAACGAAGCACUUUACCUGAUUUCCUUCGGGGAUGAUUGUUCUGUGACUGAGUGGCGGACGGGUGAGUAACGCGUGGAUAACCUGCCUCACACAGGGGGACAACAGUUGGAAACGACUGCUAAUACCGCAUAAGCCCACAGCUCGGCAUCGAGCAGAGGGAAAAGGAGCAAUCCGCUUUGAGAUGGCCUCGCGUCCGAUUAGCUAGUUGGUGAGGUAACGGCCCACCAAGGCGACGAUCGGUAGCCGGACUGAGAGGUUGAACGGCCACAUUGGGACUGAGACACGGCCCAGACUCCUACGGGAGGCAGCAGUGGGGAAUAUUGCACAAUGGGGGAAACCCUGAUGCAGCGACGCCGCGUGGAGGAAGAAGGUCUUCGGAUUGUAAACUCCUGUUGUUGAGGAAGAUAAUGACGGUACUCAACAAGGAAGUGACGGCUAACUACGUGCCAGCAGCCGCGGUAAAACGUAGGUCACAAGCGUUGUCCGGAAUUACUGGGUGUAAAGGGAGCGCAGGCGGGAAGGCAAGUUGGAAGUGAAAUCCAUGGGCUCAACCCAUGAACUGCUUUCAAAACUGUUUUUCUUGAGUAGUGCAGAGGUAGGCGGAAUUCCCGGUGUAGCGGUGGAAUGCGUAGAUAUCGGGAGGAACACCAGUGGCGAAGGCGGCCUACUGGGCACCAACUGACGCUGAGGCUCGAAAGUGUGGGUAGCAAACAGGAUUAGAUACCCUGGUAGUCCACACUGUAAACGAUGAUUACUAGGUGUUGGAGGAUUGACCCCUUCAGUGCCGCAGUUAACACAAUAAGUAAUCCACCUGGGGAGUACGACCGCAAGGUUGAAACUCAAAGGAAUUGACGGGGGCCCGCACAAGCAGUGGAGUAUGUGGUUUAAUUCGACGCAACGCGAAGAACCUUACCAAGUCUUGACAUCCUGCGACGGUGCUGGAAACAGUACUUUCCUUCGGGACGCAGAGACAGGUGGUGCAUGGUUGUCGUCAGCUCGUGUCGUGAGAUGUUGGGUUAAGUCCCGCAACGAGCGCAACCCUUAUGGUCAGUUACUACGCAAGAGGACUCUGGCCAGACUGCCGUUGACAAAACGGAGGAAGGUGGGGAUGACGUCAAAUCAUCAUGCCCUUUAUGACUUGGGCUACACACGUACUACAAUGGCGUUAAACAAAGAGAAGCAAGACCGCGAGGUGGAGCAAAACUCAGAAACAACGUCCCAGUUCGGACUGCAGGCUGCAACUCGCCUGCACGAAGUCGGAAUUGCUAGUAAUCGCAGAUCAGCAUGCUGCGGUGAAUACGUUCCUGGGCCUUGCACA